This 254-nucleotide ribosomal RNA is filed under the name uncultured bacterium. RNAcentral describes it as "partial 16S ribosomal RNA". It matches the Rfam family "Bacterial small subunit ribosomal RNA", at positions 524 to 776 of the family's 1533-position model. The record is from RNAcentral.
UACGUAGGGGGCAAGCGUUGUCCGGAUUUAUUGGGCGUAAAGAGCGUGUAGGCGGUCAGGUAGGUCCGUUGUGAAAACUCGAGGCUCAACCUCGAGACGCCGAUGGAAACCAUCUGACUAGAGUCCGGAAGAGGAGAGUGGAAUUCCUGGUGUAGCGGUGAAAUGCGCAGAUAUCAGGAAGAACACCGGGCGGCGAAGGCGGGUCUCUGGGCCAUAACUGACGCUGAGGAGCGAAAGCGUGGGGAGCGAACAGG